Molecule: long non-coding RNA, 2542 nt
Organism: Lathyrus oleraceus (garden pea)
Lineage: Eukaryota; Viridiplantae; Streptophyta; Magnoliopsida; Fabales; Fabaceae
Exons: 3
Source: RefSeq, a predicted model, not a curated record
GUGGGUCGUUAACCUAGGAGGCCCAAAUGGGGCGGGAUCUAUCCGGGUUAUCCGAAACCAUGGGUCAGAUCCAGUAAGCCUCUCCCUCUUCCAUAGGAAGGCACGUGUGGAGACAAGAUUCUCCCACCCCAAUGGCCACACGUCGUGACCGAGAAAGAAGGCCAUUAAAGCCUAGGGAGAAACAAAACAAUAUUAAUCUCGGGCAGUGGGAAAGGUACCGUUCAUCUUUGGCCUUAAAACUCAUUUUAACACAAAAAUGAAACUGAAACGUGAAGUAUUCUGAUCCGCCUCAAACCUUUCUCUUCUCAGCUUGAAACACUUACAGAAAUAAAUCACAGUCUAUUUCUCCUUACACGAACCAAACUUCAGCAUUAAGAAAAAAGAACAAAUGCAAUUGACAUCUACCAAAUCCUGAACCCUAAUCAACGACGUCAACCUCCAACAUCAAACGACAAAAAGGGGACAAUCAUUUUGCAGAGAAAUAAAAACAAAGCAUGGAAGAGAUAAACUAUGCACACAUUCGUGAAUCUGGGAAUGAAACGCAAAAAGGGGCAAUAAAUUUACCGGAUCGGGGUACUUUGGAGCAAAUGAACAGGGGUUCGUCCUCUUCCUUUUUGAACAGUAGUCGCCGCUCAAUGAGGAGAAAUUUCUCCCUUUUAUAUUCAUCCUGCUAGGGUUUGGAAUUGGCCACUGAGAUCAAAAGAUAUCGGCCUGGGAGGACGCUCCCUUGCGCUGCUCUGUUGUCUACCCCAUUUUGAUGCUUAUUUUGAAAAAGUGAAAUGCGAGCAAAAGAAUGGAAAGUAUGUCUUCGCUUGGGGCUGCGGGUUGAAGGUGGCGAUGGCGUUUUUUUUCUACUGUUAAUGCUUUACAAGGGGUUAUAAAUGGUUUUUCCAUGUCAUCCAUCUGUGCACCUGAAUCAACAGAAUUUUGUAGUUCCAACUUUGCGUUGUUGGUCUCAGUUUCCACCACUUCAGAACGAAAAGAAUCAGCAGUUCCACUGUGUAUAUUUUUCUCAAAAAUAUUGUCACAUCUCACAAUUUGAUGUUGUUUUAUUGCUGGUAGUUUGUUCUCCAUUUUGCAUCGAAGGGAAUCAUAUCUAAUUUGGUUGAGUAAAUCUUCAGCAUCGUAGACAUCAUCUUUCAAGUCAUCAAGUCAUUCUUUGAUAGAAGGAGUUUUGAUUUGCUUCUCCUCUGCAGUGUCUAGCACAGGUUGAAGAGUGUGUAGUGUUGCUCUUAACUGUUUCAAGAGUGAGACAUCGAGCUUGGUGUUUGUGAUGUAAUUAAGAAACUCUUUGGAAGCAAGUUUGUCAAGUAAGGUCUGAACAGUUGCAGAGAGGAAAGCGCUUCAUAAUUGGUUGCAGUCGCAUCACGUCUCUUGAUAUUGCAAAGAAACCCAGUCAAUUGUGAUCAUGUUGCAGUUUCAGCUAAAUCAAAAUCCUUUUGGUCGCACCCCAUAUCACAGACGCGGACCUUUGUUUAAAACCCAUAUUUAGGACGAAGGACUUUUGGUUUGGUAAUCAGAUUGGACUUUUGAUUCCAACAGAGCCAUAUAUUUAUCGAGCAUAGAGACCAUUGCUUCAAAUUCAGUUACUUGCUUCUCUAUGGCAUCAAUCCGCUUGACAUACUCGUUAAAGCUAUCACUCUUGCAUUCAUUUUCCUUUUUUUGUAGGUGUUCCCGCAAUAUGUAUUUACGAGUGCGCUUGAGUAAAUCGGUUCCUCGAGCACGAAACUCUUGGCUGCAAGUACUCAGGAAAUUAUUUGCAUUGACAAUCUCUCCAUCAUUAUCACCUAGUGCUAGCCCUACCGUUAAACUUCUAAGAAUUUGCUCAUACAAGUUCUCAGUACGCAAACCUCCUGGUGAAGUGAAGUUGAAAGUAUUUAAGGAAAUUGCUAAAGAGCAUCAAAUUGAUUAGGAUACUGCAGAGUCUGAAAAAGAGCUUCUCCAGCUUCCAGAAGAGCUAAUAGAAGGGCAACAAACUUUUGUUAGUGCUAGCACCCUGCCAGUGAAGGCGUUGAUAGAUGCGUCAAUUGAAUCAAAUAAGCAGCAAUCCACAAUAUCAUCUGGCAGUGCAAAUGGUUAUGCCCUAUAUUUUUGAAGAUUCUAAGUCUGCUGCUGAAGUAGCAGUUGGGUCAGCAGAGAAAACAAUUGCAGAUGCUGAUAUGGCUAUGAAGGACCAUAGUGAAUCCUCUCAACCAUAUUACAAUGAUAAGUGAGAUAAUGAUCCUGAGCAAUAAGGAUACAUUGUUAACCCAAUUGUAUGGUGGUAAGGAAUAUAGAAGACACAACUACCAUCAAGCUUCUACACAUUCGGAUAUUAAGUUUUGAUGAAGCAGUUUGCGAUGAAGAAAUUGAAACAGAACCUAUCCUGAAGCGACCAACGAAUUAGAUUUUCUUGAGGUUGCUUGGUCCAGUGUUAAUGGCCAACAACUAAUUUUAUUGCAUCAUUUGCAAUGAUUGUAAUUUUCCUCAAUUAACAUACUAGUUUCUCCUUUGUAUGCCACUUCAAUUAAGAUCUGAUGAAGAUUUAUUAUUUUCUCUUGCA